CGGAACGUGGCGCAGCUGGAAGCGCACCCGGCCCUGGCCGGUGGAAGCGGGUUCGACCCCCGCCGUUCCGA
RNAcentral lists this transfer RNA (71 nucleotides) under Bifidobacterium longum subsp. longum. RNAcentral's name for it is "tRNA-OTHER". It matches the Rfam family "tRNA". Rfam says of the family: Transfer RNA (tRNA) molecules are approximately 80 nucleotides in length. Their secondary structure includes four short double-helical elements and three loops (D, anti-codon, and T loops). RNAcentral also lists the same sequence under 1 other name. Lineage: Bacteria; Bacillati; Actinomycetota; Actinomycetes; Bifidobacteriales; Bifidobacteriaceae. The record is from RNAcentral.